AUCCCCCUGCGGUGUUCGUGGCAGCCGUAAUUUCCUUGAACCAAUAGUUGGAAGACCCGGUUGCUGACCAUGGAAACCGUUGGUGUGCCAGCCCUUCACGGGCGAGCCUGAAACGGAAGGGAUGCGACCCCCUGAACCCCAGGUUCAGGAUGACCCGGCGACACGGCACAAGCGGGGGGACC
Molecule: non-coding RNA, 182 nt
Filed under: Azoarcus sp.
Lineage: Bacteria; Pseudomonadati; Pseudomonadota; Betaproteobacteria; Rhodocyclales; Zoogloeaceae
Description: 6S RNA
Rfam family: 6S / SsrS RNA
About the family: E. coli 6S RNA was the first non coding RNA to be sequenced, but its function was unknown until recently. It consists of 184 nucleotides that fold into an extended hairpin structure with a large single-stranded internal bulge. The 6S RNA specifically associates with RNA polymerase holoenzyme containing the sigma70 specificity factor.
Source: RNAcentral